GAUGAACGCUGGCGGCGUGCCUAAUACAUGCAAGUCGAGCGAACGGACGAGAAGCUUGCUUCUCUGAUGUUAGCGGCGGACGGGUGAGUAACACGUGGAUAACCUACCUAUAAGACUGGGAUAACUUCGGGAAACCGGAGCUAAUACCGGAUGAUAUUUUGAACCGCAUGGUUCAAAAGUGAAAGACGGUCUUGCUGUCACUUAUAGAUGGAUCCGCGCUGCAUUAGCUAGUUGGUAAGGUAACGGCUUACCAAGGCAACGGUGCAUAGCCGACCUGAGAGGGGGACGGGCGCCCGUGAGACUGAGAGACGGCCCUGACUCCGAGGGAAGGCAGCAGUAGGGAAUCGUCCGCAAUGGGGGAAAGCCUGACGGAGCAACGCCGCGUGGAUGAUGAAGGUCUUCGGACCGGAAAACUCUGUUAGUAGGGUAGAACAUAUGUGGAAGUAACUGUGCACAUCGUGACGGUACCUAAUCAGAAAGCCACGGCUAACUACGUG
RNAcentral lists this ribosomal RNA (497 nucleotides) under uncultured bacterium. RNAcentral describes it as "partial 16S ribosomal RNA". It matches the Rfam family "Bacterial small subunit ribosomal RNA", at positions 28 to 507 of the family's 1533-position model. The record is from RNAcentral.